RNAcentral lists this ribosomal RNA (253 nucleotides) under uncultured bacterium. Its description in RNAcentral is "partial 16S ribosomal RNA". It matches the Rfam family "Bacterial small subunit ribosomal RNA", at positions 524 to 776 of the family's 1533-position model. The record is from RNAcentral.
UACGAGGGGUGCAAGCGUUGCUCGGAAUUAUUGGGCGUAAAGGGUAGGUAGGUGGUCUUAUUUGUCUUAUGUGAAAGCCUUGGGCUUAACCCAAGAAGUGCGUAAGAAACGGUAAGACUAGAGUCCUGGAGAGGGUCGUGGAAUUCCCGGUGUAGCGGUGAAAUGCGUAGAGAUCGGGAGGAACACCAGAGGCGAAGGCGGCGACCUGGACAGGCACUGACACUAAACUACGAAAGCGUGGGGAGCAAACAGG